AGCUGAAACCAGCACUUGGGAUAAUGGCACCCAGUGCCUGGAAAUCCCGACACCCAAAGAACAGACUCAGGAAACCCACUGUAGAGAAACUAUUGUGAUCAGAAUAAGAGCAGCAUCAAACAGCUGAAAUUGCUCCUGGGGAAGGAGUUCCAGAGAUACCAGCCAUGCCAACAACCUGGAGAUGACUGUCAGCUACAGAAAUACAGCCGAGCUUUUGCAGUAUCUGCCAAAAGCCUUCAGCAAGAUAUUUGUGAAGUGGAUGCCUGGUACCUGAGGAGGAGCUCUGAAUCUCCAUUCAGCAAACACCAGAACCCCACUGAAGCUGAUCUACUAUUUCCAGAGGUCACAAAUGGUGCCUAAGGACUCUGGUGCUGCUUCUGCACCUGCCUCAACCCACUAGCCACCUGCAAACCAAGCAGUGCUGAAACCCUCCUGCAGCCUCAGGAGGCCUUCGUAGACCAAGACUACCUUUAUGUGCUUCCUGGACACUUGCUCAUAUGCCAGAGGAGAUCAUGACUUGCUGUACAAGUCCCACUCCUCUCAUGAGUAGGAAGAAUGUUUUCCUUUAGCAGAGCGUUACUAUGCUCGGAUGUCUGCUUCCCUUCUUCCAGGAGGACAGAAAUGAUCCCACCACGUGGACAGAAAGUUAUUCUAAAAGAAUGUGAGCUGUAAUCCUCCUGCAAGGAUGACGGAGGAGUUGUUCAGAGAGGAACACCGACUAUUCUUAACCUCAGUGAGGUUGUACGUGUAGAUCUGUUGAGAACGCAGUAACUUCUAAGAUGUUCAGGCUAGCUUUUUCAAAAGUGUCCGUUCAGGAGGAGCCUCUUCCUCCGACCUGCUUCACUUGAGACUCCCACAUUCCAGGCUACUGCACUGCCUGGCUGUGGGACUCAAGGUGGCUCAAGCAGAGCAACAGCUCUAACUGGACACCUUUGAAAACCCAGCUUCCCUAUAGGGGCUAUAAUGGGCUCUACAAUAUUUGUAGACUGUACUGAGCAUGCUCUGGAAAUGGUUAAACCAUAACUCAAACUAUGUAGAGGAAAUUCCUCAGGAUGUCUUGCUCACAGAGUCAGAGUAUUGCUUGUGAGAUGCAGGAUAUGUGUGCCUUUUAUAAAGGCAAAAGCUCAGUUUUAUAUCCUUGUAGGAAAGAAGGUUACGGCUGUGUUGUCGAGUUUACAAGAUAUAUUUAUCAAAGUCUUUCAUGAAAGGCAGGCGUAUAAAUUGUAUUUACUCUGUGGUACCCUACCCCCAGGGGAGAAUGUGAAUCAUUACUAUCCUUGGAGGAUGCUGUGACAUGUGUGAGCUGCACCAAGUGUAUAUAAACUGUGCCAGGAAUUACCUUGGAUUUCAGAAGCUGUAGAAACUUUUAUCAGCACAAAAUUAAAUAAAAAUCUAAUAACAAAUCCA
Molecule: long non-coding RNA, 1407 nt
Organism: Melopsittacus undulatus (budgerigar)
Lineage: Eukaryota; Metazoa; Chordata; Aves; Psittaciformes; Psittaculidae
Exons: 3
Source: RefSeq, a predicted model, not a curated record